UGCACAAUCCCCCUUAAUGAACUGAUUAGUUUGUUGGCUUCCGAAAACGGAAAGUGAAAGGCCAGCAACACCAGCACCGGCAAACACCUGAACACAGGUAAGUUUUUAAAACGUAAGACCAGACAAAAAGAAACCAAAAGACAGCUAUAUGUUUGCUUGUUAAGUACAGCACAAAUUAUUGUCAGGGGGGUGAAAGUGGAGUGGAAAUGUUUGCAUGUGUGAAAGACUGGUAUGCUAGUCGGCUAUCUUGUUCUGGGCCCCAGGCCGAUGUGGAACCUUAAAUUAGUAGGGUUGCAAAGAGAGAUACCAUCUGGUCAUUGAAGAGUUGGGAUCCUGCAUGGUGUGGAUCCAUCUCAGGGCUCGGUAAUCUGUCUCUAGAAUGAACUUCCUUCCCAGCAGGUAGUACCUGAGGAACUCCAACACCCACUUGAUCACCAGGCACUCCUUCUCCACUGUUGAUUAUCAGGUCUCUCUUGGCAGUAACUUUCUGCUCAAGAAUGCAAUGGCCCUUUCUUCGCCUGCAUCUUCCUGGGCCAGGACUGCUCCGAUUCCCACAGACAAAGCAAUCACCAGCACAAUGAAUCCUUUUGAAAAAUAAGGAUAUUUGAGGACUGAAUAAGAACAUAUUUGUCCAUGUUAAAGGCCCUCUCACACUCCUCAGUCCAGCAAAUUGGGUUUUUGCAGAGCAGAAUGGUCAGGGAGAUAGCAUGAUAGAAAAGUUCAGAAUGAAUCGUCGACACCAUCCUACCAGCCCCAAGAAAGACCGAACCUCUUUUUUUGUUUGUGGUCUUGGACUGUGUCAAAUGGCUUCUACCUUGCAAACUUGAGGUUGCAACUCCCCAUUUCCUAGGUGGUAUCAAAGGUAGUCGGUCUCAGCCUUUGCCCAUUCACAUUUUGCCACAUUUAAAGUCAGGUCAGCCUCUUGGAUCUUACUCAGGGUCUUUUUUCAGGUGUUAAAGAUGGUCCUUCUGAGUCUGACUGUAGAUGACAAUUCCAUCCAGGUACACGGCUGACCAUUCUUCACAGCCUCGAAGAACUUGGUCCAUCAGGUAUUGGAAGAUUGCAGGUGCCCCAUGUAGACCGAAUGCUCCAUCUCGCAGACGUUUUGGGACAUCUAUUAGGAGCAGUCCUUUCAGACAUUAUCGUCAGUUUCAACUCUUCUCCCUCACCACUAAGGUUGCCCGUUUUAUUGAACACCUCUCUACCCCAACUAUUCCAGAGAACCCGUCUGCUUCCUCGCAUCGUGCAGCGUACCUUUUCGCGUGAUAUGGGUACACAGACCUCUUCUGACCUCCCUGCUGUUGAAAACUUUGAUGACAACUCCCACAUUUCUGCAACAAACCAACCAUCUCCUCCUUACCCUUCAUGUUGGUCUCCUACUGAUUAUCCUCCUACUUCCCUGUUCCUUCACCUGAUUAUUAUUAUCUUCCCAUAACUUCACCUAAGUCUGACCCCGAUUGCUCAUCUAUGUCUUCUUCAGUGGCUGAGGCCCACAAGCUCUUUUUUCUUAAUAAACAUGAUUAAGUCUG
This is a long non-coding RNA of Silurus meridionalis, 1529 nucleotides long. RefSeq lists it as uncharacterized. NCBI's taxonomy places the organism in Eukaryota, Metazoa, Chordata, Actinopteri, Siluriformes, Siluridae. The transcript is spliced from 2 exons. The record is from RefSeq and is a predicted model, not a curated record.